This 253-nucleotide ribosomal RNA is filed under the name uncultured bacterium. RNAcentral's name for it is "partial 16S ribosomal RNA". It matches the Rfam family "Bacterial small subunit ribosomal RNA", at positions 524 to 776 of the family's 1533-position model. The record is from RNAcentral.
UACAGAGGGUGCGAGCGUUAAUCGGAAUUACUGGGCGUAAAGCGCGCGUAGGCGGCUUUGCAAGUCGGGUGUGAAAUCCCCAGGCUUAACCUGGGAACUGCAUUCGAGACUGCAUUGCUAGAGUAUGGGAGAGGGAAGUGGAAUUUCCGGUGUAGCAGUGAAAUGCGUAGAUAUCGGAAGGAACAUCAGUGGCGAAAGCGACUUCCUGGACCAAUACUGACGCUCAUGUGCGAAAGCGUGGGGAGCAAACAGG